AAAGGACUUAGAUAAACACAAGUUGGAGAUAAGUAGAAGAAAAAUUAGACAAAUACCAGCAGUUCAGGUUGGCUCAU
Molecule: unclassified non-coding RNA, 77 nt
Organism: Cricetulus griseus (Chinese hamster)
Lineage: Eukaryota; Metazoa; Chordata; Mammalia; Rodentia; Cricetidae
Source: Ensembl